RNAcentral lists this ribosomal RNA (516 nucleotides) under uncultured bacterium. RNAcentral describes it as "bacterial SSU rRNA". It matches the Rfam family "Bacterial small subunit ribosomal RNA", at positions 9 to 526 of the family's 1533-position model. The record is from RNAcentral.
GAGUUUGAUCCUGGCUCAGGAUGAACGCUGGCGGCGUGCUUAACACAUGCAAGUCGAACGGGAAACAUUUCAUUGAGGCUUCGGCGGAUCUGAUCUGUUUCUAGUGGCGGACGGGUGAGUAACGCGUGGGUAACCUGCCUUAUACAGGGGGAUAACAGUCAGAAAUGGCUGCUAAUACCGCAUAAGCGCACAGAGCUGCAUGGCUCAGUGUGAAAAACUCCGGUGGUAUAAGAUGGACCCGCGUUGGAUUAGCUUGUUGGUGGGGUAACGGCCCACCAAGGCGACGAUCCAUAGCCGGCCUGAGAGGGUGAACGGCCACAUUGGGACUGAGACACGGCCCAGACUCCUACGGGAGGCAGCAGUGGGGAAUAUUGCACAAUGGGGGAAACCCUGAUGCAGCGACGCCGCGUGAAGGAAGAAGUAUCUCGGUAUGUAAACUUCUAUCAGCAGGGAAGAUAGUGACGGUACCUGACUAAGAAGCCCCGGCUAACUACGUGCCAGCCGCCGCGGUAAUAC